GACGAACGCUGGCGGCGUGCUUAACACAUGCAAGUCGAACGGAAAGGCCCUGCUUGCAGGGUACUCGAGUGGCGAACGGGUGAGUAACACGUGGGUGAUCUGCCCUGCACUUCGGGAUAAGCCUGGGAAACUGGGUCUAAUACCGGAUAGGAGCCAUUUUUAGUGUGAUGGUUGGAAAGUUUUUUCGGUGUAGGAUGAGCUCGCGGCCUAUCAGCUUGUUGGUGGGGUAAUGGCCUACCAAGGCGGCGACGGGUAGCCGGCCUGAGAGGGUGGACGGCCACAUUGGGACUGAGAUACGGCCCAGACUCCUACGGGAGGCAGCAGUGGGGAAUAUUGCACAAUGGGCGCAAGCCUGAUGCAGCGACGCCGCGUGGGGGAUGGCGGCCUUCGGGUUGUAAACUCCUUUCGCUAGGGACGAAGCUUUCUGUGACGGUACCUAGAUAAGAAGCACCGGCUAACUACGUG
This 465-nucleotide ribosomal RNA is filed under the name uncultured bacterium. Its description in RNAcentral is "partial 16S ribosomal RNA". It matches the Rfam family "Bacterial small subunit ribosomal RNA", at positions 28 to 507 of the family's 1533-position model. The record is from RNAcentral.